This 913-nucleotide ribosomal RNA is filed under the name uncultured archaeon. RNAcentral's name for it is "bacterial SSU rRNA". It matches the Rfam family "Archaeal small subunit ribosomal RNA", at positions 1 to 922 of the family's 1478-position model. The record is from RNAcentral.
UUCCGGUUGAUCCUGCCGGAGAUCACUGCUAUUGGAGUUCGCUUAAGCCAUGCGAGUCGAGAGGGUUCGGCCCUCGGCAUACGGCUCAGUAACACGUGGAUAAUCUGCCCUGAGGUGGGGGAUAACCUCGAGAAAUUGAGAAUAAUACCCCAUAGACCAGAUCUUCUGGAAGGCUUCUGGUUCAAAGCUCCGGCGCCUCAGGAUGAGUCUGCGGCCUAUCAGGUUGUAGUGAGUGUAACGGACUCACUAGCCGACGACGGGUACGGGCAGUGGGAGCUGUCGCCCGGAGAUGGAUUCUGAGACACGAAUCCAGGCCCUACGGGGCGCAGCAGGCGCGAAAACUUCGCAAUGCGGGAAACCGCGACGAGGGAACUCCAAGUGCCUUGCAAUUUGUAAGGCUGUUUCCAUGUCUAAAUUGCAUGGAGAGUAAGGGCUGGGUAAGACUGGUGCCAGCCGCCGCGGUAAUACCAGCAGCUCAAGUGGUGAUCCUUAUUAUUGGGCCUAAAGCGUCCGUAGCCGGUUUGGUAAAUCCUUGGGUAAAUCGUACCGCUUAACGGUACGACUUCUGGGGAGACUGCCAAACUUGGGACUGGGAGAGGUCGGAGGUACUCCGGGGGUAGGGGUGAAAUCCUGUAAUCCUUGGGGGACCACCAGUGGCGAAGGCGUCCGACUAGAACGGAUCCGACGGUGAGGGACGAAGCCCUGGGGCACAAACCGGAUUAGAUACCCGGGUAGUCCAGGGUGUAAACGCUGCGAGCUUGGUGUUGGAGGUCCUACGAGGGCGUCCAGUGCCGGAGAGAAGUUGUUAAGCUCGCCGCCUGGGGAGUACGAUCGCAAGAUUGAAACUUAAAGGAAUUGGCGGGGGAGCACCGCAACGGGUGGAGCGUGCGGUUCAAUUGGAUUCAACGCCGGA